This 257-nucleotide ribosomal RNA is filed under the name uncultured bacterium. RNAcentral describes it as "partial 16S ribosomal RNA". It matches the Rfam family "Bacterial small subunit ribosomal RNA", at positions 524 to 776 of the family's 1533-position model. The record is from RNAcentral.
UACGAGGGGGGGCGAGCGUUUGUUCGGAAUUAUUGGGCGUAAAGAGCUCGUAGGCGGUUUGUCGCGUCUGCUGUGAAAACGCGAGGCUCAACCUCGCGCCUGCAGUGGGUACGGGCAGACUAGAGUGCGGUAGGGGGAGAUUGGAAUUCCUGGUGUAGCGGGUGGAAUGCGCAGAUAUCAGGAGGAACACCGAUGGCGAAGGCAGAUCUCUGGGCCGCAACCUACGCUGAGGAGCGAAAGCUGGGGGAGCGAACAGG